Molecule: ribosomal RNA, 616 nt
Filed under: Gaeumannomyces graminis
Lineage: Eukaryota; Fungi; Ascomycota; Sordariomycetes; Magnaporthales; Magnaporthaceae
Description: eukaryotic LSU rRNA
Rfam family: 5.8S ribosomal RNA (bases 168-321)
Source: RNAcentral
CCUUGGUGACAGCGGAGGGUCAUUACAGAGUUGAAAAACUCCAACCCCUGUGAACAUACCUUUACUGUUGCUUCGGCGGACGAUGGCCCCCCCCGGGGGCCGGACGCCGCCGGAGGUUACAAACCCUGAAUUUUAGUGUAUCUCUGAGUAUAAAACCAAAUAAUUAAAACUUUCAACAACGGAUCUCUUGGUUCUGGCAUCGAUGAAGAACGCAGCGAAAUGCGAUAAGUAAUGUGAAUUGCAGAAUUCAGUGAAUCAUCGAAUCUUUGAACGCACAUUGCGCCCGCCGGUAUUCCGGCGGGCAUGCCUGUCCGAGCGUCAUUUCACCACUCAAGCCCAGCUUGGUGUUGGGGCACCCGGCCGCCCGGCGGUCGGGGCCCCCAAGAACAUCGGCGGUCUCGCCAGGACCCUGAACGCAGUAACUCGCGGUAAAACGCGCUUCGUUCGGAGGCUUCCCGGCGGGCUCCAGCCGCUAAACCCCCUAAACUUCUUAGGUUGACCUCGGAUCAGGUAGGAAUACCCGCUGAACUUAAGCAUAUCAAAGGGGGAAGGAAUUUCUAAUAGAGCCGGGCAGAUCGCAGGACCGCUAGACCAACUCAGGUUACCCGAUCCCUUG